UACACUCCUGCGGGAGGCAGCAGUGGGGAAUUUUGGACAAUGGGCGAAAGCCUGAUCCAGCAAUGCCGCGUGUAUGAAGAAGGCCUUCGGGUUGUAAAGUACUUUCAGCGGGGAGGAAGGCAAUACGGUUAAUAACCGUGUUGAUUGACGUUACCCGCAGAAGAAGCACCGGCUAACUCCGUGCCAGCAGCCGCGGUAAUACGGAGGGUGCAAGCGUUAAUCGGAAUUACUGGGCGUAAAGCGCACGCAGGCGGUCUGUCAAGUCGGAUGUGAAAUCCCCGGGCUCAACCUGGGAACUGCAUUCGAAACUGGCAGGCUUGAGUCUUGUAGAGGGGGGUAGAAUUCCAGGUGUAGCGGUGAAAUGCGUAGAGAUCUGGAGGAAUACCGGUGGCGAAGGCGGCCCCCUGGACAAAGACUGACGCUCAGGUGCGAAAGCGUGGGGAGCAAACAGGAUUAGAUACCCUUGUAGUCCCAUGA
Molecule: ribosomal RNA, 477 nt
Filed under: uncultured organism
Description: partial 16S ribosomal RNA
Rfam family: Bacterial small subunit ribosomal RNA
Source: RNAcentral